AGAGUUUGAUCCUGGCUCAGGAUGAACGCUGGCGGCAGGCUUAAUACAUGCAAGUCGAACGGUAAGGCCGAGCGUAGCAAUACGCGAGGUACACGAGUGGCGCACGGGUGCGUAACGCGUAUGCAACCUGCCCCCUUCCGGGACAAAACGUCGAGAAAUUGGCGCUAAUAUCCCAUGGCGACCUGUUGGGGCAUCCUGGCGGGUCCAAAGAUUCAUUGGAAGGGGAUGGGCAUGCGUAUCAUUAGCUUGUUGGCGGGGUAACGGCCCACCAAGGCGACGAUGAUUAGGGGUUCUGAGAGGAAAGUCCCCCACACUGGAACUGAGACACGGUCCAGACUCCUACGGGAGGCAGCAGUAGGGAAUAUUGGGCAAUGGGAGCAAUCCUGACCCAGCCAUGCCGCGUGAAGGAAUACGGCCCUACGGGUCUUAAACUUCUUUUGCCGCGGAGUAACCGCCGGGACGUGUCCCGGCCUGAGAGUACGCGGCGAAUAAGUAUCGGCUAACUCCGUGCCAGCAGCCGCGGUAAUACGGAGGAUACGAGCGUUAUCCGGAUUCAUUGGGUUUAAAGGGUGCGCAGGCGGACGCGCAAGUCAGUGGUGAAAUCUCCCGGCUCAACCGGGACCGUGCCUCUGAUACUGCGCGACUGGAGAAUGAGUGGCGUGGCCGGAAUGUGACGUGUAGCGGUGAAAUGCAUAGAUAUGUCACAGAACGCCGAUCGUGAAGACAGGCCACGAACUCAUGACUGACGCUCAUGCACGAAAGCGUGGGUAUCAAACAGGAUUAGAUACCCUGGUAGUCCACGCCGUAAACGAUGAUCACUCGUUGUCGGGCAGCGAUGCUCGGCGGCCAAGCGAAAGCGAUAAGUGAUCCACCUGGGGAGUACGAUCGCAAGGUUGAAACUCAAAGGAAUUGACGGGGGCCCGCACAAGCGGAGGAGCAUGUGGUUUAAUUCGAUGAUACGCGAGGAACCUUACCCGGGCUUGAAGGUGGGACGGAUGCUCAGGAGACUGGGCAGUCUACGGACGUCCUGCUAGGUGCUGCAUGGUUGUCGUCAGCUCGUGCCGUGAGGUGUUAGGUUAAGUCCUGCAACGAGCGCAACCCUUACACGUAGUUGCCAGCACGUCAAGGUGGGGACUCUGCGUGAACUGCCUACGCAAGUAGAGAGGAAGGUGGGGAUGACGUCAAAUCAGCACGGCCCUUAUGUCCGGGGCGACACACGUGCUACAAUGGCAUGUACAGAGGGCGGCGACCCCGCGAGGGGGAGCGAAUCCUCAAAGCAUGUCUCAGUUCGGAUCGGAGUCUGGAACUCGACUCCGUGAAGUUGGAUUCGCUAGUAAUCGCGCAUCAGCCAUGGCGCGGUGAAUACGUUCCCGGGCCUUGUACACACCGCCCGUCAAGCCAUGGAAGCCGAUGGUACCUGAAGUCCGUGCCCGCGAGGAGCGGCCUAGGGUAAAAUUGGUGACUGGGGCUAAGUCGUAACAAGGUAGCCGUACCGGAAGGUGUGGCUGGAACACCUCCUU
RNAcentral lists this ribosomal RNA (1520 nucleotides) under uncultured bacterium. RNAcentral's name for it is "bacterial SSU rRNA". It matches the Rfam family "Bacterial small subunit ribosomal RNA". The record is from RNAcentral.